Molecule: small nuclear RNA, 198 nt
Organism: Anastrepha ludens (Mexican fruit fly)
Lineage: Eukaryota; Metazoa; Arthropoda; Insecta; Diptera; Tephritidae
Product: U2 spliceosomal RNA
Exons: 1
Source: RefSeq, a predicted model, not a curated record
AUCGCUUCUCGGCCUUAUGGCUAAGAUCAAAGUGCAGUAUCUUUUCUUAUCAGCUUAACAUCUGAUAGAUCCUCCAUCGGAGGACAACAAAUGUUAAACUGAUUUUUGGAAAUGGGCGGAGUGUUUUAGGGGCUUGCUCCACUUCUGCCACGGGUUGGCCCGGUAUUGCAGUACGGCCGGGAUUUCGGCCCAAAUUAU